GGGUUGUGAGGUUAAGCGACUAAGCGUACACGGUGGAUGCCCUGGCAGUCAGAGGCGAUGAAGGACGUGCUAAUCUGCGAUAAGCGCCGGUAAGGUGAUAUGAACCGUUAUAACCGGCGAUUUCCGAAUGGGGAAACCCAGUGUGAUUCGUCACACUAUCAUUAACUGAAUCCAUAGGUUAAUGAGGCGAACCGGGGGAACUGAAACAUCUAAGUACCCCGAGGAAAAGAAAUCAACCGAGAUUCCCCCAGUAGCGGCGAGCGAACGGGGAGGAGCCCAGAGCCUGAAUCAGCAUGUGUGUUAGUGGAAGCGUCUGGAAAGGCGCGCGAUACAGGGUGACAGCCCCGUACACAAAAGCGCAUGUGCUGUGAGCUCGAUGAGUAGGGCGGGACACGUGGUAUCCUGUCUGAAUAUGGGGGGACCAUCCUCCAAGGCUAAAUACUCCUGACUGACCGAUAGUGAACCAGUACCGUGAGGGAAAGGCGAAAAGAACCCCGGCGAGGGGAGUGAAAAAGAACCUGAAACCGUGUACGUACAAGCAGUGGGAGCACAGGUUUACCUGUGUGACUGCGUACCUUUUGUAUAAUGGGUCAGCGACUUAUAUUCUGUAGCAAGGUUAACCGUAUAGGGGAGCCGGAGGGAAACCGAGUCUUAACCGGGCGUUAAGUUGCAGGGUAUAGACCCGAAACCCGGUGAUCUAGCCAUGGGCAGGUUGAAGGUUGGGUAACACUAACUGGAGGACCGAACCGACUAAUGUUGAAAAAUUAGCGGAUGACCUGUGGCUGGGGGUGAAAGGCCAAUCAAACCGGGAGAUAGCUGGUUCUCCCCGAAAGCUAUUUAGGUAGCGCCUCGUGAAUUCAUCUCCGGGGGUAGAGCACUGUUUCGGCUAGGGGGCCAUCCCGGCUUACCAACCCGAUGCAAACUGCGAAUACCGGAGAAUGUUAUCACGGGAGACACACGGCGGGUGCUAACGUCCGUCGUGAAGAGGGAAACAACCCAGACCGCCAGCUAAGGUCCCAAAGUCAUGGUUAAGUGGGAAACGAUGUGGGAAGGCCCAGACAGCCAGGAUGUUGGCUUAGAAGCAGCCAUCAUUUAAAGAAAGCGUAAUAGCUCACUGGUCGAGUCGGCCUGCGCGGAAGAUGUAACGGGGCUAAACCAUGCACCGAAGCUGCGGCAGCGACACUCAGGUGUUGUUGGGUAGGGGAGCGUUCUGUAAGCCUGUGAAGGUGGCCUGUGAGGGUUGCUGGAGGUAUCAGAAGUGCGAAUGCUGACAUAAGUAACGAUAAAGCGGGUGAAAAGCCCGCUCGCCGGAAGACCAAGGGUUCCUGUCCAACGUUAAUCGGGGCAGGGUGAGUCGACCCCUAAGGCGAGGCCGAAAGGCGUAGUCGAUGGGAAACGGGUUAAUAUUCCCGUACUUGGUGUUACUGCGAAGGGGGGACGGAGAAGGCUAUGUUGGCCGGGCGACGGUUGUCCCGGUUUAAGCGUGUAGGUGUGUGUUCCAGGUAAAUCCGGUUCACUUUAACACUGAGGCGUGACGACGAGGCACUACGGUGCUGAAGCAACAAAUGCCCUGCUUCCAGGAAAAGCCUCUAAGCAUCAGGUAACAUCAAAUCGUACCCCAAACCGACACAGGUGGUCAGGUAGAGAAUACCAAGGCGCUUGAGAGAACUCGGGUGAAGGAACUAGGCAAAAUGGUGCCGUAACUUCGGGAGAAGGCACGCUGACACGUAGGUGAAGUGAUUUACUCAUGGAGCUGAAGUCAGUCGAAGAUACCAGCUGGCUGCAACUGUUUAUUAAAAACACAGCACUGUGCAAACACGAAAGUGGACGUAUACGGUGUGACGCCUGCCCGGUGCCGGAAGGUUAAUUGAUGGGGU
RNAcentral lists this ribosomal RNA (1877 nucleotides) under Salmonella enterica. Its description in RNAcentral is "partial 23S ribosomal RNA". It matches the Rfam family "Bacterial large subunit ribosomal RNA", at positions 1 to 1890 of the family's 2925-position model. The record is from RNAcentral. RNAcentral also lists the same sequence under 2 other names. Lineage: Bacteria; Pseudomonadati; Pseudomonadota; Gammaproteobacteria; Enterobacterales; Enterobacteriaceae.